CCUACGGGGUGCAGCAGUGAGGAAUAUUGGUCAAUGGGCGCGAGCCUGAACCAGCCAAGUAGCGUGAAGGAUGACUGCCCUACGGGUUGUAAACUUCUUUUAUAAAGGAAUAAAGUGAGGCACGUGUGCAAUUUUGUAUGUACCAUAUGAAUAAGGAUCGGCUAACUCCGUGCCAGCAGCCGCGGUAAUACGGAGGCUCCGAGCGUUAUCCGGAUUUAUUGGGGUUAAAGGGAGCGUAGGUGGGUUGUUAAGUCAGUUGUGAAAGUUUGCGGCUAAACCGUAAAAUUGCAUUUGAAACUGGCAGUCUUGAGUACAGUAGAGGUAGGCGGAAUUCGUGGUGUAGCGGUGAAAUGCUUAGAUAUCACGAAGAACUCCGAUUGCGAAGGCAGCUUACUAGACUGCAACUGACAUUGAUGCUCGAAAGUGUGGGUAUCAAACAGGAUUAGAUACCCUGGUAGUC
RNAcentral lists this ribosomal RNA (460 nucleotides) under uncultured bacterium. RNAcentral's name for it is "partial 16S ribosomal RNA". It matches the Rfam family "Bacterial small subunit ribosomal RNA", at positions 338 to 795 of the family's 1533-position model. The record is from RNAcentral.